GAUAAACGCUGGCGGCGCACAUAAGACAUGCAAGUCGAACGGACCGAAUUAGUUUGUUUACAAAUUAAAGAGGUUAGUGGCGGACUGGUGAGUAAUACGUAAGCAACCUGCCUAUUAGAGGGGAAUAACAGUGAGAAAUCACUGCUAAUACCGCAUAUGCCAUAAUCACCACAUGGUGGAAGUGGGAAAGGAGCAAUCCGCUAAUAGAUGGGCUUACGCCUGAUUAGUUAGUUGGUGGGGUAACGGCCUACCAAGACGACGAUCAGUAGCCGGACUGAGAGGUUGAACGGCCACAUUGGGACUGAGAUACGGCCCAGACUCCUACGGGAGGCAGCAGUCGGGAAUUUUGCGCAAUGGAGGAAACUCUGACGCAGUGACGCCGCGUAUAGGAAGAAGGUUUUCGGAUUGUAAACUAUUGUCGAUGAGGAAGAUACAAGACUGUACUCAUCAAGAAAGCUCCGGCUAACUACGUG
This 473-nucleotide ribosomal RNA is filed under the name uncultured bacterium. Its description in RNAcentral is "bacterial SSU rRNA". It matches the Rfam family "Bacterial small subunit ribosomal RNA", at positions 28 to 507 of the family's 1533-position model. The record is from RNAcentral.